This 253-nucleotide ribosomal RNA is filed under the name uncultured bacterium. RNAcentral describes it as "partial 16S ribosomal RNA". It matches the Rfam family "Bacterial small subunit ribosomal RNA", at positions 524 to 776 of the family's 1533-position model. The record is from RNAcentral.
UACGGAGGGUGCGAGCGUUGUCCGGAAUCACUGGGCGUAAAGGGCGCGUAGGCGGCCUGAUAAGUAGGGGGUGAAAUCCUGCGGCUUAACCGCAGGGCUGCCUUCUAAACUGUCAGGCUUGAGCACAGUAGAGGCAGGUGGAAUUCCCGGUGUAGCGGUGGAAUGCGUAGAGAUCGGGAAGAACAUCAGUGGCGAAGGCGGCCUGCUGGGCUGUUGCUGACGCUGAGACGCGAAAGCGUGGGGAGCAAACAGG